CUAGAGCUAAAGGAAUCGAACCUAAUCCUAAGAACUCAAAAUUCUCCGUGCUACCACAUCACACCCAACUCUA
RNAcentral lists this transfer RNA (73 nucleotides) under Castor canadensis (American beaver). Its description in RNAcentral is "transfer RNA-Gln". The record is from RNAcentral. Lineage: Eukaryota; Metazoa; Chordata; Mammalia; Rodentia; Castoridae.